Molecule: ribosomal RNA, 471 nt
Filed under: uncultured bacterium
Lineage: Bacteria
Description: bacterial SSU rRNA
Rfam family: Bacterial small subunit ribosomal RNA
Source: RNAcentral
ACUCCUACGGGAGGCAGCAGUGGGGAAUAUUGCACAAUGGGCGCAAGCCUGAUGCAGCCAUGCCGCGUGUAUGAAGAAGGCCUUCGGGUUGUAAAGUACUUUCAGCAGUGAGGAAGGUGGGUAUGUUAAUAGCAUACUCAUUUGACGUUAGCUGCAGAAGAAGCACCGGCUAACUCCGUGCCAGCAGCCGCGGUAAUACGGAGGGUGCGAGCGUUAAUCGGAAUUACUGGGCGUAAAGCGCAUGCAGGUGGUUUGUUAAGUCAGAUGUGAAAGCCCGGGGCUCAACCUCGGAAUUGCAUUUGAAACUGGCAAACUAGAGUACUGUAGAGGGGGGUAGAAUUUCAGGUGUAGCGGUGAAAUGCGUAGAGAUCUGAAGGAAUACCGGUGGCGAAGGCGGCCCCCUGGACAGAUACUGACACUCAGAUGCGAAAGAGUGGGGAGCAAACAGGAUUAGAUACCCUGGUAGCGUAG